This 482-nucleotide ribosomal RNA is filed under the name uncultured bacterium. Its description in RNAcentral is "partial 16S ribosomal RNA". It matches the Rfam family "Bacterial small subunit ribosomal RNA", at positions 29 to 507 of the family's 1533-position model. The record is from RNAcentral.
UUGCACGCUGGCGGCAUGCUUUACCCCUGCAAGUCGCACGGCAGCGCGGGCUUCGGCCUGGCGGCGAGUGGCGAACGGGUGAGUAAUACAUCGGAACGUGCCCAGUAGUGGGGAUAGCUCGGCGAAAGCCGGAUUAAUACCGCAUACGACCUGAGGGUGAAAGCGGGGGAUCUUCGGACCUCGCGCUAUUGGAGCGGCCGAUGGCAGAUUAGCUAGUUGGUGGGGUAAAGGCCUACCAAGGCGACGAUCUGUAGCUGGUCUGAGAGGACGACCAGCCACACUGGGACUGAGACACGGCCCAGACUCCUACGGGAGGCAGCAGUGGGGAAUUUUGGACAAUGGGCGAAAGCCUGAUCCAGCAAUGCCGCGUGUGUGAUGAAGGCCUUCGGGUUGUAAAGCACUUUUGGCGGGAACGAAAAGGACUGUGCCAAUACCACGGUUCGAUGACGGUACCCGCAGAAUAAGCACCGGCUAACUACGUG